CCUACGGGUGGCAGCAGUGGGGAAUAUUGCACAAUGGGGGAAACCCUGAUGCAGCGACGCCGCGUGAAGGAUGAAGUAUUUCGGUAUGUAAACUUCUAUCAGCAGGGAAGUAAAUGACGGUACCUGACUAAGAAGCCCCGUCUAACUCCGUGCCAGCAGCCGCGGUAAUACGGAGGAUGCGAGCGUUAUCCGGAUUUAUUGGGUUUAAAGGGUGCGUAGGCGGAAUAUCAGGUCAGCGGGAAAAAUUCGGGGCUCAACCCCGUAGUGCCGUUGAAACUGAUGUUCUUGAGUGGGCGAGAAGUAUGCGGAAUGCGUGGUGUAGCGGUGAAAUGCAUAGAUAUCACGCAGAACUCCGAUUGCGAAGGCAGCAUACCGGCGCCCAACUGACGCUGAAGCACGAAGGCGUGGGUAUCGAACAGGAUUAGAUACCCGUGUAGUC
This 439-nucleotide ribosomal RNA is filed under the name uncultured bacterium. RNAcentral describes it as "partial 16S ribosomal RNA". It matches the Rfam family "Bacterial small subunit ribosomal RNA", at positions 338 to 795 of the family's 1533-position model. The record is from RNAcentral.